UAAAACUGUUUAUUUCUAUAAUUCUCUAUUUAGUAACAUAAUACCAGGCAAGGCCCCUUUCCCACUAUGUCGUAACGACAGAGUCGUGCGUCAUGCCCUGUACAUUUUAAAUGGAGUUGUUCACAUAUAGAGCGAUAAUUUACUACAGGCUUAUAUAUUUACUGACGACUAUAAAUGUCGUUGUGAUAUAGUGGGAACGUGGCCUUUUAUACUACAUAUAUAAGAACAAAAAAAAAAAACAAAAUAUAAAACAAGUUUUUCCUGAAAAAUAGUGUCGUAGAUCAGCGGUCGGCAACCUGCGGCCCGAGUGCCGCCUUGGCUAUUUUGUAUGUAAUAGUGACAAACGAUAAUGUCUCAUAAACUCAUAAAUAUUAACAAAGUACGGCCCGCGUCACCUCCGUUAACUACUAUGUGGCCCUUGGCUGCUAAAAGGUUGCCGACCGCUGGACGAAGUGGCAAUUUGUAUGGUUACCAUUUUAUACAGUGUGUUUUCUGUAACAGGAGCAAUAAAUUAAACUGUAGGCUGUACUCCUCAAACUGACCAACUUUUGUUCAGCAACUUUUGAAAAUAACUCAUGUUUUGAUUUUUAUUACACUUUAAAGUUUAUUCUAAGACGCAAUGUAUUGCAAAUUUUGUUAUGUUAAAAGCGUGACAAGUAACGUCAAACACACUUAUGUCAGCGUACAUUGAAGGCAAUAUUUAUUUUGUAUGAAAAAGAGGAAGCCUAAGGGAUUCAUAAUUUUUAAAAGUUGCUGAACAAAUGUUGGUCAGUUUGAGGAGUACAGCCUUUAGUUUAAUCUAUUGCUCCUGUUACAGGAAGCACCCUGUAUAUUUUUAUCUUAACACAUUCACUGUCAACGCGAGCUACGUGCUAGCAACCCAACUGAUAAAACGUGUAAAAUCGUAUGUAGCGAAAAGCGCGUACGAACAGAGAACUCGCCUAGCGGGUCGCUGGCAGUGAUUGAGUUAAAAUAAGUAGUUUUACUACUUAUUAGGCUUCAUCAAAAAGUAACUUGCAAUUUUGGGUUAGAUAUAAAUAAUGGAACAGAGAUAAAAUGUUGAUUGUCGAUUUUGCCAUAUAAGAAUUAAUUAGGCACACAAAUUCCAUGAAGAAUAGAUACAGUCGAGUUCACAGACAUCUUUACAAGCCAACGUUCCAAAAAUAUGCUAACACGCCUCUAAGACACAGACAAUAAGGUCGUUUAAUAGUAUUUUAUACAAUCGUGAUAUAAUAGAGAGCUUUUCAGUCGAGUACCGUGUUUAGGCAACGAAGCUUGCUGAGUUGCCUAAGUCAGGUACGAGAUUGAAAAGCCUGAUUAUAUCACUAUUGUAUACAAUACUUUUUCUACGAGCCAACAUAAAUAAUAGUUUAAACUAGUAGAAUCAUACAAACAAACCAAACCAAAAGUAUAUUACACAGCUAAGAUACGCAAGCCCCCGCGAUACCUUCAUACUGGUACGCGCCCCCGCCGCCGCGCCCGGCGCGUUGGUCAACGACAUCUUCUCGUAACUCAUGAGGCCCUGGUACUUGCUCCGCGCUAAAUUAAAUUUUUAGACAGUUGUUUUCUCGAUUAUGGAGACUAACAAGGAACACUAAGUGGUUUUUGUAGUCUAUGGAUGUUGCUAUUUUAAGGGUGUCACAUUUCUGAUUUAUGAACCAAUUGCUUCUACUAUACAACCUAAAAUAAAUAAUUAAUUUGAGCUUUGGUUUGGUUUCGUCCUGUUGAUCGCGGAGAGUUGUGAUUGGUCAAUUUCAUUAUAGUUGACUAAACUGUAUCGUAAUCAAUCAAUCAAUCAAAUUUUAUUUCAGGCAAAAAAUAUACCCAUACAAAAAUAUUAAAAUAAAAAUAAUUACAAUUAAAAAUAUUAUCAUAUUAAAAUUAAAAUUAAAAUUAAAAUCAAAAUUAAAAUCAAAAUUAAAUGAUGAAUAUUAUAGUUGAGUUGGGAGCCCAUACAUUAAAAAUACCCAAUUGAAGUUUGGAAUAAGAAAUCUUAAUUCAAGAAUUAUAGUCGACGAGUAGGAAAAUAUAUUUUUAGUUAUACGUGAGAGAUGGAGAUGUUUGUGAACUCGACCUAUUGCAUACUAUUUUGAUGUGUAGACAAUCUUACAUUAACUCUUAAUUUCUAGCUUGAUCAAAUAAAACUAAUACAGCAUUUUAAAUUUGUAUUUACUUAACCACGCCUUAAGGGGCCCACUGAUUGCCAGUCCACCGGACGAUAUCGGCCUGUUGACUACUCCGAACAACUGACAGACUCAUAUCGUCCGGCGAACUGGUAAUCUGUGGGCCCCUUGAUGAUAAAUUUAAAUUUCGAAUAGGCUCUAAAGUAUAGGCUCAACCUAUUAUAAAUUUAACAUCGCCAAAUUAAUUAUAAUACUUACAUCUAUUUAAUCACAACAUAAAACAUUGGCUUUAGGAUAAAACUUAAGUCCUUGUAAU
Long non-coding RNA from Cydia fagiglandana, 2439 nucleotides. RefSeq lists it as uncharacterized. Lineage: Eukaryota; Metazoa; Arthropoda; Insecta; Lepidoptera; Tortricidae. The record is from RefSeq and is a predicted model, not a curated record. The transcript is spliced from 2 exons.